CCUACGGGUGGCAGCAGUGGGGAAUAUUGCACAAUGGGGGAAACCCUGAUGCAGCGACGCCGCGGGAGUGAAGAAGGAGUUCGGUAUGUAAAGCUCUAUCAGCAGGGAAGAAAAUGACGGUACCUGAGUAAGAAGCCACGGCGAACUACGUGCCAGCAGCCGCGGGAAUACGGAGGGGGCAAGCGUUAUCCGGAUUUACUGGGUGUCAAGGGAGCGUAGACGGCAGCACAAGUCUGGAGUGAAAUGCCGGGGCUUAACCCCGGAACUGCUUUGGAAACGGUGCAGCUAGAGUGCAGGAGAGGUAAGUUGCCUUCCUCGUGUAGCGGUUAACUGCGUAGAUAUUAGGCG
This 348-nucleotide ribosomal RNA is filed under the name uncultured bacterium. Its description in RNAcentral is "partial 16S ribosomal RNA". It matches the Rfam family "Bacterial small subunit ribosomal RNA", at positions 338 to 703 of the family's 1533-position model. The record is from RNAcentral.